Molecule: ribosomal RNA, 535 nt
Filed under: uncultured archaeon
Lineage: Archaea
Description: bacterial SSU rRNA
Rfam family: Bacterial small subunit ribosomal RNA
Source: RNAcentral
CAGCCGCCGCGGUAAUACGUAGGGAGCGAGCGUUAUCCGGAUUCAUUGGGCGUAAAGCGCGCGUAGGCGGCUCGCCAAGCGGGGUCUCAAACCCGGGGGCUCAACCUCCGGCCCGACCCCGAACCGGCGGGCUCGAGUUCGGUAGAGGAAGACGGAAUUCCCGGUGUAGCGGUGAAAUGCGCAGAUAUCGGGAAGAACACCGAUGGCGAAGGCAGUCUUCUGGGCCGCAACUGACGCUGAGGUGCGAAAGCUAGGGGAGCGAACAGGAUUAGAUACCCUGGUAGUCCUAGCCGUAAACGAUGGGCACUAGGUGUGGGGGAGCCCUUCCCCCGUGCCGCAGCUAACGCAUUAAGUGCCCCGCCUGGGGAGUACGGCCGCAAGGCUAAAACUCAAAGGAAUUGACGGGGGCCCGCACAAGCAGCGGAGCAUGUGGCUUAAUUCGAAGCAACGCGAAGAACCUUACCAGGGCUUGACAUCCGGGUGAAGCGGCGGAGACGCCGUGGCCGAGAGGAGCCCGGACAGGUGGUGCAUGGCC